CCCCGCCUAUCUCCCAUUGCGCUCCUGUGCAACCAUACUUACGGAGUCAAGCCUUAUUUGGUUUGAUCAGAUUUGAUUCCUUGGUUUUGUGUAGGACAUGGAGAAGGCCAUCAUCCGAAAAGGUAAGCAUCUGGAGGCCAUAUCCGGUUUCAUCUCAAGGAACAAGUGUAAAGGCAUCAGAUCUAUUUACAAACAUGAGAUCAAUCCGCAUAUUAUGGAGCUCGAUCGAAAGGGAAGCGGGAUUAUAGGAACCAGUUAUAGUGAGGAUUUAAUUUUUGAUGAUUGGUAGCGAGAUCGAUGAAAACAUGAGGUGGAUUUUCAUGGGACACCAGGUUUGCUCGUGAGGAGGUGAGAGAAGUACAGAGGUAGAAGUAGCUUGAGAUGAUCGUGACAGGUGAGAUUGAUUAUUGCAACCCUCGUGUGGAUUUUUUAUGUGCAUGCACAACAACCCUUCAUUUGUGCCUUUGAUCAUCAGAUCAAACGACAAGUUUAUUGUCUGAUUAAUUAGAGAUUUCUAUUUUGGAAUGAAAUUAUCUGAAAUUUUGCUAUCCCGCUGGUCCUUACUAAUUCAGUAUAUACUAUAUUUUCAAGUUUGCCUAUAUAUAUACUAGAAUUUGAAGUUGCGACCAUCCAUUGUUCUACCGUGGAGAUCAGGAAUAAUGAUUGCAGUUGCAGGGCCGCCGCCGUUGCUGAACACAAACGGGGCUCGGAGCAGGCCAAGCUCCGAGGUCGACCGGGCAACGGAUUGUGGAGAGGCGCCCAAGGAUUUUUUUUUUACUACUGUUGAUUGUGCCAUCCAAUUGGUUUAGAGUUUUCACCAUUGCUAAUUACUAGGGGAGUACGGGUGCCGGACCUGGUAAGUGGCCUGCACGCUAUGCUCUUUGCAAAUAAUAUGCAACCAUGCCUGCACUGAAUUUUUAUUUAUUUCCGAUGUACCUUACAACAACUUCGUGAUGUAGCACUACUUUGCACUAGCAUGCACCUGCAGAUAUAAGUUGGUGAUGAUCUAAUUAUUUUUCAAGUCACAAGAUGUAAAUCUAUCUCCAACUCAUUAGUACUUCAAUUCUAGAAGAUUCACAUUUUUGUAUUUUUGUUUCAGGUUCUAAGCGAGGAAUUUUUGGUUGCAAAGUUGUAAAAGAAAUAUCUUCCUCAAAGUUGCAAAAGAAAUUUGUAGCAUGAUCAUCACCUUGUAGUUGGGAGAGAUAUAUAGUACUCAGCCAAGGGAAUGCCCUUCUCCGUAAGGCCGAUAUGAAGAUCGAGUUUGAAAUCAGCUAUCUCAAUGCAAAAUGCAUUUCCACAAUAGAGAUGGGGAAUGGAUACAUUGUUGUCGUCCUUCACUGAGCAGCCGAGUAGGAGCUCCUCCAUGCUGAUGAUGUGGAAGACAGAUACCCUGUCCGCGACGCCCGGCUCUGGCCUCAUAUAAAUGAGUCUAGAAGUGAUACUUUUGUGAGGAGUGCUGAAACAUGACUGGAUCAAGCGAGACGGAGAACGAUGGAUGAGAGAAAGAGAUCAGAAAAGGGAUUCGCUCCCAACCACCUCAUACAUACAUGUGUAAGAGCUUGUCACCUCAUACAUAUCUCUUGUAGCUAUAUAGGGCUCUUUUCGUAUUAUAGGAAAUUUUCAAAUUAUGUUUUACUAGGGAUGUAAGUAUCAGAUGCUAGAUAUGUGAUCUACUGAUCUAUGUGAUCUUUAGAGAUUUUAGACUUUCAGUAUUCAACCAUCAGUUGUCUUCCUUCAAUAUUUCUUUAUUUUUGUAGGGCAAUCUGUUUUUUUUAAUCCUUGAAGCACCAUUCAGAACAUAUGAUCGUGGUUGUCAAAUUCCUGUGAAAUACAUACCUUUGAUCUCAGUUUUAUAGGGAAAUUAACAUGAUCUCAUUUUUUUUAUCACACUGACAAUAUAUUAUGUUAUACAAUAAUAUACUGCUCUUUCGUAUUCUAGGAAAAUUUCAAAUUAUAUUCUACUAGGUCUGUUCUUUUUUUAAAAAAAUCCUUGAAGCGCCAUUCAGAACAUAUGAUUGUGGUUUUCAAAUUCCUGUGAAAUACAUACCUUUCAUCUCAAUUUUAUCAUGCUGACAAUAUAUUAUGUUAUACAAGGUGAUCCACAACAUAGCUUGCAGCCUCUGAGAGCUCAGGAAGAUGUGGAGAUGAUUAUAGCUUGAAACAUUGUGACUUUUUUCACUUAGUGGUCAUGUAACAUACAGUGGUAACAAUGAAUUCUUGCUCAUUUGGUAAAACUUACAUCUGAACUUAUCAUGAUAAUUAACCAUUGGUUAUCUGAUGAUUAGCGCUGUAAUUAGUUAUCUACCUUCCAUGUGGAGCGAAUUGGUUAUUGCAAGUAGUUCAAGCUGAUUGAAAGUUAAUGUGGCUGGUUGUAAGUAAUGAUGAGGUUGGUUGAGUUGCUUUUCUAUAAGUACACGUAUGUACAUUUCUUGGACUAUUGUGAAUCAAACCACUUUCUACAGUUUCCAAAUGCUGAUGUUAUCUGCACAAACUAACUAUUAAUCCAUGUGCAACAUAUUUCAUAUUAUUAUCUUUUUGCAGGGAGCAACAACUUGCAUGUAAUCUGAGUGUAUUUCAGUCAAUCUGCUCUUUUCAUAAAUUUAAUGAUAAUGUUGUGCGCAUCUCUGGGAUGCCGAAGGAAGUUUCUCUCUUACAGGUCCGGCUUGGUGUAACUGCUCUGUAUCUAGCGGCUGCAGUGCUUGCUUGUUUUAAAUUUCUCUUCCCCUUCAGGCCUGCUGCCAUGUUUCGGCUGCAGUAUGUAAUCCUGCUUCUCCUGAUCAUGUUGGUCAUCGCAUUGUGGUCCUUCCACUUUGCCUUAUAGGAUCUUUUCUUUAGCUCAUUCUCAUAGUUUCUGCUUAUCCUCCCCUCUUAUCAUCUGCAGAUCUAUGUAACUCUCUUUGUUCUAUCUCUUUGAGCUGAAUGAAAUUAGGCACCUCUUGGCGCCUUUGCUUGUUCAAAAAUAAUAAUACAAUCUAGAUAACAUUAUUGUGUUUGAU
This is a long non-coding RNA of Triticum aestivum (bread wheat), 2996 nucleotides long. RefSeq lists it as uncharacterized. The record is from RefSeq and is a predicted model, not a curated record. Lineage: Eukaryota; Viridiplantae; Streptophyta; Magnoliopsida; Poales; Poaceae. The transcript is spliced from 5 exons.